This 87-nucleotide transfer RNA is filed under the name Candidatus Zhuqueibacterota bacterium. Its description in RNAcentral is "candidate division KSB1 bacterium tRNA-Leu". It matches the Rfam family "tRNA". From Rfam's summary of the family: Transfer RNA (tRNA) molecules are approximately 80 nucleotides in length. Their secondary structure includes four short double-helical elements and three loops (D, anti-codon, and T loops). The record is from RNAcentral. Lineage: Bacteria; Pseudomonadati.
GCCGAAGUGGUGGAACUGGUAGACACGCUGUCUUGAGGGGGCAGUGGGAGAGAUCCCGUGGGGGUUCGAGUCCCCCCUUCGGCACUA